CUGCUAUCGGAUUGAUACUAAGCCAUGCGAGUCAUUGUAGCAAUACAAGGCAUACGGCUCAGUAACGCGUAGUCAACCUAACCUAUGGACGGGAAUAACCUCGGGAAACUGAGAAUAAUGCCCGAUAGGACAUUAUGCCUGGAAUGGUUUAUGUUCCAAAUGAUUUAUCGCCGUAGGAUGGGACUGCGGCCUAUCAGUUUGUUGGUGAGGUAAUGGCCCACCAAGACUAUUACAGGUACGGGCUCUGAGAGGAGUAGCCCGGAGAUGGGUACUGAGACACGGACCCAGGCCCUAUGGGGCGCAGCAGGCGAGAAAACUUUGCAAUGUGCGAAAGCACGACAAGGUUAAUCCGAGUGGUUUCUGCUAAAGGAACCUUUUGUCAGUCCUAGAAACACUGAUGAAUAAGGGUGGGCAAGUUCUGGUGUCAGCGCGCGUAAAACAGCACCUCAAGUGGUCAGGAUGAUUAUUGGGCCUAAAGCAUCCGUAGCCGGCUCUGUAAGUUUUCGGUUAAAUCUGUACGCUCAACGUACAGGCUGCCGGGAAUACUGCAAAGCUAGGGAGUGGGAGAGGUAGACGGUACUCGGUAGGAAGGGGUAAAAUCCUUUGAUCUAUUGAUGACCACCUGUGGCGAAGGCGGUCUACCAGAACACGUCCGACGGUGAGGGAUGAAAGCUGGGGGAGCAAACCGGAUUAGAUACCCGGGUAGUCCCAGCUGUAAACCAUGCAAACUCAGUGAUGCAUUGGCUUGUGGCCAAUGCAGUGCUGCAGGGAAGCCGUUAAGUUUGCCGCCUGGGAAGUACGUACGCAAGUAUGAAACUUAAAGGAAUUGGCGGGGGAGCACCACAAGGGGUGAAGCCUGCGG
This 862-nucleotide ribosomal RNA is filed under the name uncultured archaeon. RNAcentral's name for it is "bacterial SSU rRNA". It matches the Rfam family "Archaeal small subunit ribosomal RNA", at positions 27 to 900 of the family's 1478-position model. The record is from RNAcentral.